This 468-nucleotide ribosomal RNA is filed under the name uncultured bacterium. Its description in RNAcentral is "partial 16S ribosomal RNA". It matches the Rfam family "Bacterial small subunit ribosomal RNA", at positions 28 to 523 of the family's 1533-position model. The record is from RNAcentral.
GAUGAACGCUGGCGGCGUGCCUAACACAUGCAAGUCGAGCGAUUCUCUUCGGAGAAGAGCAGCGGACGGGUGAGUAACGCGUGGGUAACCUGCCCUGUACACACGGAUAACAUACCGAAAGGUAUGCUAAUACGAGAUAAUAUACUUUUAUCGCAUGGUAGAAGUAUCAAAGCUCCGGCGGUACAAGAUGGACCCGCGUCUGAUUAGCUAGUUGGUAAGGUAACGGCUUACCAAGGCGACGAUCAGUAGCCGACCUGAGAGGGUGAUCGGCCACAUUGGAACUGAUACACGGUCCAAACUCCUACGGGAGGCAGCAGUGGGGAAUAUUGCACAAUGGGCGAAAGCCUGAUGCAGCAACGCCGCGUGAGCGAUGAAGGCCUUCGGGUCGUAAAGCUCUGUCCUCAAGGAAGAUAAUGACGGUACUUGAGGAGGAAGCCCCGGCUAACUACGUGCCAGCCGCCGCCGUAA